UACCCUGGACGGUGGAUCACUUGGCUCGCGGGUCGAUGAAGAACGCAGUUAACUGCGCGUCAUAGUGUGAACUGCAGGACACAUUUGAACAUCGACAUUUCGAACGCACUGAAGCAUGAGCACUGAGGGCCG
This 132-nucleotide ribosomal RNA is filed under the name Bombyx mori (domestic silkworm). Its description in RNAcentral is "5.8S ribosomal RNA". It matches the Rfam family "5.8S ribosomal RNA". Rfam says of the family: 5.8S ribosomal RNA (5.8S rRNA) is a component of the large subunit of the eukaryotic ribosome. It is transcribed by RNA polymerase I as part of the 45S precursor that also contains 18S and 28S rRNA. Lineage: Eukaryota; Metazoa; Arthropoda; Insecta; Lepidoptera; Bombycidae. The record is from Rfam by way of RNAcentral.